This 644-nucleotide ribosomal RNA is filed under the name uncultured bacterium. RNAcentral's name for it is "bacterial SSU rRNA". It matches the Rfam family "Bacterial small subunit ribosomal RNA", at positions 202 to 846 of the family's 1533-position model. The record is from RNAcentral.
GAAAGAUUCAUCGGAAGAGGAUGGGCAUGCGGCGCAUUAGCUAGACGGCGGGGUAACGGCCCACCGUGGCGACGAUGCGUAGGGGUUCUGAGAGGAAGGUCCCCCACACUGGUACUGAGACACGGACCAGACUCCUACGGGAGGCAGCAGUGAGGAAUAUUGGUCAAUGGGAGAGAUCCUGAACCAGCCAAGCCGCGUGAGGGAAGACGGCCCUAUGGGUUGUAAACCUCUUUUGUCGGAGAACAAAACCCGGGACGAGUCCCGGACUGCGUGUAUCCGAAGAAAAAGCAUCGGCUAACUCCGUGCCAGCAGCCGCGGUAAUACGGAGGAUGCGAGCGUUAUCCGGAUUUAUUGGGUUUAAAGGGUGCGUAGGCGGUCCGUUAAGUCAGCGGUAAAAUUGCGGGGCUCAACCCCGUCGAGCCGUUGAAACUGGCAGACUUGAGUUGGCGAGAAGUACGCGGAAUGCGCGGUGUAGCGGUGAAAUGCAUAGAUAUCGCGCAGAACUCCGAUUGCGAAGGCAGCGUACCGGCGCCACACUGACGCUGAGGCACGAAAGCGUGGGGAUCGAACAGGAUUAGAUACCCUGGUAGUCCACGCAGUAAACGAUGAAUGCUGGUUGUCCGGGUCGAAUGAGAUCUGGGCGG